This 318-nucleotide long non-coding RNA is filed under the name Citrus x clementina. RNAcentral's name for it is "Citrus clementina (C. clementina) long non-coding RNA (CCLE_LNC001119)". Lineage: Eukaryota; Viridiplantae; Streptophyta; Magnoliopsida; Sapindales; Rutaceae. The record is from RNAcentral.
ACCUCCAUGGUUCUAACAGUCGGCACUUUUUCGGUUGCCUGAGAAGCCCUACUGCCAACUCUUUUUGCUCGUGCAUCAUCUUCUUCAUUAGUCAAGCAAACUGCUCGCCUUGCUUCUUUGUAGUAUUUAACCAAGAGAUUUACAAUAUCAGCCUGUGUUUCGCAAUACACUAAAAUGAGAUAUCAUUGCACGUUGUUUAGUUAGGAUGAAAUACUAAAACGUUAUAUCAGAGAACCUUCAGAAUGUCAUUGCACCCAUGUCUAAGAGAUGUUUCAGUCCUGUAAUCAGUAAUAAUUUUCACCAGGCGAUCUCUCAGAC